AAUGCAUAGGAAUCUGCCUAUUAGUGGGGGAUAACACGGGGAAACUCGUGCUAAUACCGCAUACUUCCUACGGGAGAAAGUGGGGGAUCUUCGGACCUUACGCUAAUAGAUGAGCCUAUGCCGGAUUAGCUAGUUGGUAGGGUAAAGGCCUACCAAGGCGACGAUCCGUAGCUGGUCUGAGAGGAUGAUCAGCCACACUGGGACUGAGACACGGCCCAGACUCCUACGGGAGGCAGCAGUGGGGAAUAUUGGACAAUGGGCGCAAGCCUGAUCCAGCCAUGCCGCGUGUGUGAAGAAGGCCUUCGGGUUGUAAAGCACUUUAAGUGGGGAGGAAGGUCAGUAGAAUAAUACUCUGCUGAAUUGACGUUACCCACAGAAUAAGCACCGGCUAACUCUGUGCCAGCAGCCGCGGUAAUACAGAGGGUGCAAGCGUUAAUCGGAAUUACUGGGCGUAAAGCGCACGUAGGUGGUUGUGUAAGUUGAAUGUGAGAGCCCCGGGCUUAACCUGGGAAUUGCAUCCAAAACUGCACGACUAGAGUAUGGGAGAGGGAGGUAGAAUUCCAGGUGUAGCGGUGAAAUGCGUAGAGAUCUGGAGGAAUACCGGUGGCGAAGGCGGCCUCCUGGCCUAAUACUGACACUGAGGUGCGAAAGCGUGGGUAGCAAACAGGAUUAGAUACCCUGGUAGUCCACGCCGUAAACGAUGAGAACUAGCCGUCGGUCUCCUUGAGAGGUUAGUGGCGCAGCUAACGCGAUAAGUUCUCCGCCUGGGGAGUACGGCCGCAAGGUUAAAACUCAAAUGAAUUGACGGGGGCCCGCACAAGCGGUGGAGCAUGUGGUUUAAUUCGACAACGCGAAGAACCUUACCUGGUCUUGACAUCCACGGAAUCCUGCAGAGAUGUGGGAGUGCCUUCGGGAGCCGUGAGACAGGUGCUGCAUGGCUGUCGUCAGCUCGUGUUGUGAAAUGUUGGGUUAAGUCGCGUAACGAGCGCAACCCUUGUCCUUAGUUGCUAGCAGGUUAUGCUGAGAACUCUAAGGAGACUGCCGGUGACAAACCGGAGGAAGGUGGGGACGACGUCAAGUCAUCAUGGCCCUUACGACCAGGGCUACACACGUGCUACAAUGGCCGGUACAGAGGGUUGCCAACCCGCGAGGGGGAGCUAAUCCCGAAAAGCCGGUCGUAGUCCGGAUUGCAGUCUGCAACUCGACUGCAUGAAGUCGGAAUCGCUAGUAAUCGCAGAUCAGAAUGCUGCGGUGAAUACGUUCCCGGGCCUUGUACACACCGCCCGUCACACCAUGGGAGUGGGUUGCACCAGAAGUAGUUAGCUUAACCGCAAGGGGAGCGAUUACCACGGUGUGAUUCAUGACUGGGGUGAAGUCGUAACAAGGUA
This 1388-nucleotide ribosomal RNA is filed under the name metagenome. RNAcentral's name for it is "bacterial SSU rRNA". It matches the Rfam family "Bacterial small subunit ribosomal RNA". The record is from RNAcentral.